AAGGUUCGAUUCGAGCGCAGCGAGAAAGCGUUGCCGCAGGCAACGACCCGAAGGGCGAAGCGCGCAGCGCUGAGUAAUCCUUCCCCCACCACCA
RNAcentral lists this small RNA (94 nucleotides) under Salmonella enterica subsp. enterica serovar Berta. RNAcentral describes it as "partial RtT sRNA". It matches the Rfam family "RtT RNA", at positions 38 to 130 of the family's 130-position model. Rfam says of the family: This family represents a bacterial cis-regulatory element known as RtT RNA. The exact function of RtT is unknown although it is thought that it may be involved in changing the cellular response in relation to amino acid starvation. RNAcentral also lists the same sequence under 3 other names. The record is from RNAcentral. Lineage: Bacteria; Pseudomonadati; Pseudomonadota; Gammaproteobacteria; Enterobacterales; Enterobacteriaceae.